This is a non-coding RNA of Pangasius djambal, 73 nucleotides long. Lineage: Eukaryota; Metazoa; Chordata; Actinopteri; Siluriformes; Pangasiidae. The record is from the annotation of a GenBank genome assembly.
GCAGUCAUGGCCUAAUGGUUAGAGAGUCAGACUUGUAACUUGAAGGUUGUGGGUUCGCGUCUCAGGGCCGGCA